CAGCAGCCGCGGUAAACCGUAGGAGGCAAGCGUUAUCCGGAUUUAUUGGGCGUAAAGCGCGUGCAGGCGGUUUGGUAAGUUGGAUGUGAAAGCUCCCGGCUCAACUGGGAGAGGUCGUUCAAAACUGCCAGACUAGAGGGUGGUAGAGGAAGGUGGAAUUCCCGGU
This 166-nucleotide ribosomal RNA is filed under the name uncultured bacterium. RNAcentral's name for it is "partial 16S ribosomal RNA". It matches the Rfam family "Bacterial small subunit ribosomal RNA", at positions 509 to 674 of the family's 1533-position model. The record is from RNAcentral.